Molecule: ribosomal RNA, 472 nt
Filed under: uncultured bacterium
Lineage: Bacteria
Description: bacterial SSU rRNA
Rfam family: Bacterial small subunit ribosomal RNA
Source: RNAcentral
UGGGGAAUAUUGGACAAUGGGGGCAACCCUGAUCCAACAAUGCCGCGUGUGUGAAGAAGGCCUGCGGGUUGUAAAGCACUUUCAGUAGAGAAGAAAAGCCUAAGGUUAAUAACCUUGAGUCUUGACGUAACCUACAGAAGAAGCACCGGCUAACUCCGUGCCAGCAGCCGCGGUAAUACGGAGGGUGCAAGCGUUAAUCGGAAUUACUGGGCGUAAAGCGCACGUAGGUGGUUUUGUAAGUCGGAUGUGAAAGCCCUGGGCUCAACCUGGGAAUUGCAUUCGAUACUGCUUAACUAGAGUAUGGUAGAGGGAAGUGGAAUUUCCGGUGUAGCGGUGAAAUGCGUAGAUAUCGGAAGGAACACCAGUGGCGAAGGCGACUUCCUGGGCCAAUACUGACACUGAGGUGCGAAAGCGUGGGUAGCAAACAGGAUUAGAUACCCCUGUAGUCCCUGAGCGGGCUGGCAAGGCGCAU